This 248-nucleotide ribosomal RNA is filed under the name uncultured Actinomycetales bacterium. RNAcentral describes it as "partial 16S ribosomal RNA". It matches the Rfam family "Bacterial small subunit ribosomal RNA", at positions 83 to 334 of the family's 1533-position model. Lineage: Bacteria; Bacillati; Actinomycetota; Actinomycetes; Actinomycetales. The record is from RNAcentral.
UGGGGUGCUCGAGUGGCGAACGGGUGAGUAACACGUGGGUGAUCUGCCCUGCACUUCGGGAUAAGCUUGGGAAACUGGGUCUAAUACCGGAUAGGACCAUCGUUUAGUGUCGGUGGUGGAAAGUUUUUUCGGUGUGGGAUGAGCUCGCGGCCUAUCAGCUUGUUGGUGGGGUAAUGGCCUACCAAGGCGUCGACGGGUAGCCGGCCUGAGAGGGUGUACGGCCACAUUGGGACUGAGAUACGGCCCAG